Molecule: long non-coding RNA, 2812 nt
Organism: Octopus bimaculoides (California two-spot octopus)
Lineage: Eukaryota; Metazoa; Mollusca; Cephalopoda; Octopoda; Octopodidae
Source: RefSeq, a predicted model, not a curated record
UGUUCAUUCACCAAGCGUUAAACUACGCAGGUGUCCUCUGUCAAUUUGCAUAUGCUUGCUUGUUUGAGUUAAGAAGAGAUAUUUUCCGUUCUCUUCUUCUUUGUGAACGUCGUGAUACAAGCUGGAGAAGUAAGUCAGAUUCCGACAUUUUGAGCAAGGGAGAUUCCGAUUCUGACAAAAAGACUCUGCAUUCUUUUUUCUAAAAUUAUAUUUUGAUGAUGAAUGCAGUUGAAUUUGUUGCUGUUGAUGAUGGGAAUUGUGACUUUAUUACUUGUCACAGUUUAGGCGGUGGUCAUAGUAAUGAUGAUGGUGGUUAAAUACUUUCCCAUUUAUGUUAAUUCAAAAAAAUGUACAUUAAGUUGCAAAAUCUCUUAUGUUCUAUUAUUUUAUUCUGCUUUUUUAUUUCCGAUUGAAUAUAUUUUUAUAUAUUUAAAAAUUGGAAUUUUGGAAGCUUGAAGUUUCGGGAAUGAGGCCAACCGAAUGGAAAGGGCAAGUGACGUCAACAGCCGGAAGAGGAAACGAUAAAGUGAGGCUGCUGAAGACUAACUUGGGUCUUCUGUCCUCUGGGCAGUCGUGGUGAACAGAUGCGUUUGGACGCGAGGCGAGCGGGGUAUGGAUUGAACGCUACUGGAUAGCCAACAUUAAGAGAUUAACAGAUGACAUUUUUUCUCAACUAAAUGUCAGCUCCUCUGAAACACCUUAAAAUCAUUUCAUCCAAGGAAGCAUUUGCACUAAUUCCACAACCCAGUUAUUGGAAAGGUUUUAUGUAUUAUAAACUGGUGCCAAUUGAAACAUGAAUUUCAAGGGCUCAAAGAACUUGGAAUACUAACUUUUGAAACAAUUCAGGGAAAAAUGAGAGGAAAAUCAGUUUUAAAAUAUUUAUUAUUUUCAGGAGGGACUUUCAAUGUAUUGAAUGUGUUCCUGAUAAAGUGCAUAUUUUGAAGUUCAGCGCACUCUCUUAAGAGGAGAGUCACAAGUUGUACAAAGCUAAGGAUUUCUUUUUAUUUUCUUCCUGCAUUUUCUCAUUGAUUGCAAAUUUCAAAAUCAUUGCUAUUUUUGCAUUUGGACAAUGGACAUGCUUAACAAUUUCUUUUCAGCAUAUGCUGUCCAAAUGAAAAGUUUGCUUAUUGCUAGCCUUUGCAAUUACAUUUUUUUAAGCACCAAUAAUAAUUAUUCGCACGUUGAUGAAUGAUUAAGUUACCAUUUUGAGAGAAUGGUUGGCCACAGAUAUUACAGUAAAAUAUUUUGCUCCCAUAUGAAUACGUUUGUGAGAUGUUAAGCUACCGAUCUAAGAGAAUGGUUUACCACAAAUGUAAGUGAUAUGGCUUCUCUGUGUGGAUACGUUUGUGUUUAAUGAAGUUACAUUUUUGGUAAAAUAUCUUCUUAGAGAUAUCACAGUGUUACGAUGUUUUACUUGUCCUUUUCUUUAUACCCUCAGGAGAAUCCUUAAAUUAUGCUUUAAAUUUAACCUCAUUCUCCUACAAUUUAUUUUCCGUACUUAUUUCUCUUUGAACCACAAUAUUGAACUCUGUUCAUAGUUGUUUCUUAACAAAUAUUUGAAUUUCCACCAACUAUGAUCUUUAUCAAUAUGUACAGCUCUUACAAGCUCCUCUGUAAUUUGUAAUCCAUGUUCAGUUAACCUGCAAAAUCAUCUUGUAGAUAUUCUGGAUAGUGAUUAAGCGAGAUAUUGCUAUUUCUCUGUUCACACGGAAAACUAUUAGAGAGUAAUUCCAUCACAGAUUUACAUCGAUCAAAUUAUAUUUGUUCUGCAUAGACAUCUUUAUGGUCUUUAAAAGAUAAUAAAUAUUGAUGAUGUAUCUGAUGUAGACAAUUGUUCGAUGCCAAUGUCAGAUAAUCUGAGAUAACAAACAUCAGUGUAAGACUUAGAAGAUACAUGAAAUGUAUACACACAAAUGCAUUGUAUGCAUGCAUUAGUGUUCUGUUUAUAUAUUUACAGGUAUAUGCACAUACACACACAUAUAUACAUAUACAAGGAAUACUGAAAAGGUAUUGUAAAAGGCCUGAUUGGGUGACCAAUCUUCUGAGUUCUUUUACAGGGCUUAGAAAAAUGUAAGGACCACUGCAAUAAGUGUGUGAAUCUGAGAGGGGGGAAUAUACUGAAUUGAAUCAUAAUUAACUGAUUCCUACUGUAUUUUCUGUUACCCGAAGCCCAGAACUUUCAGCACCCUUUUGUAUGUGUGUACAUAUGUAUAUGGACGUUAAACAAUGAUGUGUGUGUUUGUGUGUAUGUCCAUGCUCUCCCGUGCUGCAGACUGAUUUUGUCAAUUUCAUAUGGCUGGAUGCCUUUCAUGUCACCGACUCUCAUCUGUUUCCAGCUAAGGUAAUAUAUUUCCCUUGUUGGAUAUAUUUUCAUGGGAGACUGGAAACAAAUGAUACCAUUUGCAUGAUGGUAACACUCACCUACAGCCAUCACUCUGUCAGGAAAAGGAAACACUAACACAUAUAUGAUGAGCUUAUUUCAGUUUCUCUUCACAUAAUAUUCGCUAUACUUUGGUAGACCAGAGCCUUUAGUAAACAUCACUUGCCCAAGAUGCCAUGUAGUGGGGAUGGACCCAAACUCUAUUUAACCAUGUAGCCACACCUGUGCCUAUAUUUUACCUGAAUUAUGUUAAUGGCACAAAUGUCUUUGGAAUACAUGUUAAUUCAGUUGACCAAACAACUGAAAACUCUUUGUCAAACGGUGGAGAUCUACCCACAUUAUAAAUGUAUAAACCAAUCUAAAGACCGAAGUUUGAUUGAUUGAUUAGACUCGUGUACUUGCUUAUCUCCCUUCGUCUUCACUCUGCAUAAU